GUGGAUGUUUCAGUAAUACAGGUGCUGGAAGAAAUAUCCAGUUCCAGUUCCAAGCUAGGAGAAAGGCACUGGAAAUAAAAUGGAGGCUGGAGGCUGAUUGAAAAGAAAGGUUCCCUUUAUUGAUGAAGCAGAACCACCAAUCACAUGUGAUUCAGGGGCAGUUGACAAAAUGGAGUUUAGAGUAGGGAAAGAUUGAAGGCAAACGAGGUCCAGGUAGAAGAAGAACAUCAUGGCUUCAAAACCUAAGGGACUGGUUUGGACAAAACUUUUUCAUACGGCUGUUGACAAAAAUAGGAUUGCCAACAUAAUCGCCAACAUCCGAUGAUGGAUAUGUCACAAGAAGAAGAAGAAGAAGAAGAAUUUUUGCAGGAUCAAAGCCUUUCAGCAUGAGGCAUUUGGUGAUAUUUACCUUCCAAUCAUUACUGAUGGUGAGAUAUUAAAUCACAGUAGUGUAAAGGC
Pantherophis guttatus is the source of this 459-nucleotide long non-coding RNA. RefSeq lists it as uncharacterized. The record is from RefSeq and is a predicted model, not a curated record. Lineage: Eukaryota; Metazoa; Chordata; Lepidosauria; Squamata; Colubridae.